Anneissia japonica is the source of this 2347-nucleotide RNA transcript. It is a transcript of the gene named mitochondrial dynamics protein MID51-like, with no coding region annotated. The record is from RefSeq and is a predicted model, not a curated record. The transcript is spliced from 3 exons. NCBI's taxonomy places the organism in Eukaryota, Metazoa, Echinodermata, Crinoidea, Comatulida, Comatulidae.
AUAUUUGAAACAUCCUAGGCUUGUAUUAAUUUGUCAUAUACUGUCAUGGCAACCCACAACAGAAAUGCACGGAAAAGGGAUCCCGAUUCGGAGGCGGAAAACCAAAUUGGAAAUGUGAACAGAGAAAGAAGUGCAUUACUUGACGAGCUUAGAAAAUACUUCAUGGAUCACGUGGUUAUUUCUGUUUCUGAACAGAAGCGUGCCAAAUCUGUAGUAGAAAAGAUUAAACAGGUUUUUCAAAGUUAUAUAAAAACAUCAUGUGAUCAUGAUUUUGGAAACAUCUUUCAUCAAGGAAGCUCGUACGAAGGACUGAAGGUUAUAAAAGAAGACGAAUUUGACCUACUGGUUCCUCUGAAGAUGGUCACCGUUGGUGUGUGGGAAGCAGUCGAAGCUACAGGGGUCAAUGGGUGCAAUGCUCCAGGAUAUUACUUCAUAAAAAAAGCUGAGAAACAUAUAGCAACAAGCUUGGACCGAUGUAUUGUUAAUGGGUAUCUUAACCCGAUAUCCACGUUUCGACACAUGCAGUCACUGGUAGAAGGAGCAACAAGCAGAAUGAACAGAGAACUGACAGGUAUAAAAAUUACCUCAAGCGUAAGUGGACCAGCCUUAACCCUGAACGUUGUAUACGGGGGUAACGAAAGACUGUCGGUCGAUAUUGUGCCAUGCAUAGAGCUUGGUGGCAAUGAAUACGUUGCAAAGAGGCACCCUAAGGCUGAGAAGCAGAACUCUAGGCAUGCACCAGGACAGAAUAUCUUUGACCAGCUCUGGCGUAGAAGUUACACAAAGAAGGAGCAGAUAAUUGUCCGUGAGAUGGACUGGGAGCAUGAAUGCCGUCGAACAUGUCUGAAGAUCCUGAAGACAAUCCAGAAGAAGAGAGGUUCCUCUCAACUUGGAAUGCUGUCAUCCUACCACCUCAAGACCUGCAUGUUGCAUCUCAACGAUGACACAAGUAUUGGGUCAUGGCAUCAGGAUAACCUUCAUCAUCGAUUUAAAGAUCUGCUCUGGAAACUAAUUAAGUUCCUAGAGGAUCGUAACUUGCCAAAUUUCUAUAACCCAUCUGAAAAUCUUUUUGAGAAGUAUUCGGAGGAAUCACUCCGCAACAUCUUGCGUUGGCUGAGGGGUAUCAUGAGAACCGACCAAAAUAUAAUAGAUGAUCUAUUACAUGGAAGAGACUACCAGGAUAUUACUGACAACAAUUUCCAGGUUUUCGUGAGGACCACAAACGGGAAUACACUGACGUUCAGUAAUAUGAAGAAGACAACUCUAGUGCGGGAGUUAAAACAGAAAAUCCAGCUGAAAACUGGAAUACUCCCGAAUCAGCAAUUGUUGGUUUUUGGCGGAAAGAAUUUGGAGGAUCAUCGCAGCUUAGAUUUUUACGGGAUUGGUAAUGAGAGUACUAUCCAGAUGACGGGACGCCUGCGCGGAGGCUAGAUCUGCAAAAUCAAACAAGAAGCUUCGUUGGCUACGAAAUGAAAGAACUGUUCUAAUACAAAUGAAAAGUUAACAGAUAUAAAUAUUUUAACUACAAAAUACUGAAUAUUGCCCAAGAGUUGUAUUUAACAUAAUUACAAUUCCUAGAUAUGUUGUUACAUAACUUAAUAGUACCCUUCCUUUAUUCUUCCUUUGUUUUAAUAUCAUGUAUUUAAUAUAUUUUAAUAUAUAAAAAAGUUAUGUAAAUAAUGUUGAUAUUUACUCUUUCUUUGCUCUAGUACAGUAUUAUACAUUAAAUUAUUUUUUUUAAUAUAAAACAAUAUGUGUACAUUAUGAAGCGCAUUACACAAUUGUAUUAAAUAAUUCAAUAAUGCCAAUAAUAGAAAUAAUAUAAUAUGCCUAAGUGUACUUGUAUCUUUCCGCUAAGCCCCGCCCACCCACUCCCCCUGUGAAAUUGUUGCUUAGCAGUGUAGGGCGCGCGCGUAUUCCUGGCAUUGUUCUGAUUGGUCAGUUGUUAAGUUUGAUUGACACUCAUUACUAGAAGCUUGAAUAAAAUUAUUUCAUAUUAUUGAACUGAUUAAAAUAAAGCAAACGAUUAUUUCCUUAAACAUCAUAAAUUUAUUUGAGUAGAGGAUCAUCGCAGCUUAGACUCUUACGGGAUUGGUAAUGAGAGUACUAUCCAGAUGACAGGACGUCUGCGUGGAGGCUAGCUCUGAAAAAGACUCUUACGUCAUCAUAGAAGGCACAAUUCCAUUUAUCAAAUAUGUUAAUACAGUAGAUCGAUCGUCUAAUUAUCUAAUCAAAACAAAUAUUAAUAGUUUGCAUCUGCUUAGAUAAGUUACAUAGGCCUACACUGUAUUCGAUUGUAUUGAAAUUGGCAUUCGUUUAUGGAAUAAAACAUACACUGACUGUUGAA